RNAcentral lists this ribosomal RNA (459 nucleotides) under uncultured bacterium. RNAcentral describes it as "partial 16S ribosomal RNA". It matches the Rfam family "Bacterial small subunit ribosomal RNA", at positions 338 to 795 of the family's 1533-position model. The record is from RNAcentral.
CCUACGUGUGGCAGCAGUGAGGAAUAUUGGUCAAUGGGCGGAAGCCUGAACCAGCCAAGUAGCGUGCGGGAUGAAGGCCCUACGGGUCGUAAACCGCUUUUGCACGGGGAUAACACCCUCCACUUGUGUAGUUCUGCAGGUACCGUGCGAAUAAGCGCCGGCUCAUUCCGUCCACGCCGCCACGGUAAUACGGACGGCCCGAGCGUUAUCCGGAUUCAUUGGGCUUAAAGGGAGCGUAGGCGGGCGUUCAAGUCAGCUGUAAAAUCGCGCGGCUCAACCGCGCCCCGCAGUUGAAACUGGACGCCUUGAGUUCACAACAGGCAGGCGGAAUGCGUGGUGUAGCGGUGAAAUGCAUAGAUAUCACGAGGAACCCCGAUUGCGAAGGCAGCCUGCCGGGGUGCGACUGACGCUGAGGCUCGAAGGUGCGGGUAUCAAACAGGAUUAGAUACCCCGGUAGUC